CUCUAUACACUGUGCACUUAUUGGCAAAAGAGAGGUAUCCUUUACAGGUGACUUGAUUUUGCGGCUCACUUUUAAACACCAGUCAAAGAAUGUAUACGAAAUAUCGAAAAAAGAAAAACUUUCAACAACGGAUCUCUUGGCUCUCGCAUCGAUGAAGAACGCAGCGAAAUGUGAUAAGUAAUGUGAAUUGCAGAAUUCAGUGAAUCAUCGAAUCUUUGAACGCACCUUGCGCUCCCUGGUAUUCCGGGGAGCAUGUCUGUUUGAGUGUCAUGAACUCUUCAACCCACCUAUUUCUUGUAAAUAGAAUGGUGUUUGGAUUUUGAACGUUUGCCGGUCGCAAGAUCUGGCUCGUUCGUAAUAUAUUAGCAUCUCUCAUUCGAAAUUCGGAUCGACUCAGUGUAAUAGACUAUUCGCUGAGGACACUAGUAAUAGUGGCCGAAAUUUGAUAAUAGGAAGCUUCUAACCUUUGUAGUCAAUUUAAAUUUAGACCUCAGAUCAGGCAGGAUUACCCGCUGAACUUAAGCAUAUCAAUAAGCGGAGGAAAAGAAACUAACAAGGAUUCCCCUAGUAACGGCGAGUGAAGCGGGAAGAGCUCAAAUUUGUAAUCUGUCACCUUUGGUGUCCGAGUUGUAAUCUCGAGAAGUGUUUUCCGCGCCGGACCGCAUACAAGUCUGUUGGAAUACAGCGUCAUAGUGGUGAGAGCCCCGUACACUAUGCGGAUAUCCGGUGCUUUGUGAUACACUUUC
This 746-nucleotide ribosomal RNA is filed under the name Rhodotorula sp. DBVPG 10048. RNAcentral's name for it is "eukaryotic LSU rRNA". The stretch from base 486 to 746 matches the Rfam family "Eukaryotic large subunit ribosomal RNA", at positions 1 to 258 of the family's 3401-position model. The record is from RNAcentral. Lineage: Eukaryota; Fungi; Basidiomycota; Microbotryomycetes; Sporidiobolales; Sporidiobolaceae.